Molecule: long non-coding RNA, 2295 nt
Organism: Esox lucius (northern pike)
Lineage: Eukaryota; Metazoa; Chordata; Actinopteri; Esociformes; Esocidae
Source: Ensembl
UGCCACCUUAAUGUGGUGGAGGGGUUUGAGUACCCGAGUGACCCUAGGAGCUAUGUUGUCUGGGGCUAUAUGCCCCUGGUAGGGUCUCCCAAGGCAAACAGGUCCUAGGCGACGGGUCAGACUAAGAGCGGUUCAAAAUCCUUUAAUGAUGAGAAUUUGAGGUCUGUGACGUCGCCCGGUAUGGCGCAGCCCGGGCCCCACCCGGGAGCCAGGCCCAGGUUUGGGGCUCGUAUGCGAGCGCCUGGUGGCCGGGCCUUUCCCCGUGGGGCCCGGUCGGGCUCAGCCCGAAGGAGCGACGUGGGGCCGCCUUCCCGUGGGCUCACCACCUGACCACCUUCCUGGGAAGGUGUUCCGGGCCCGUCCCACCGGGAGGAGACCCCGGGGAAGACCUAGGACACGCUGGAGAGACUGUCUCCCGGCUGGCCUGGGAACGCCUCGGUAUCCCCCCCGGAAGUGACCUGGUUUCAUAUAUGCCUAAAAGGACUUGCCUACAUCAAGGACUAUCUGGAGGAAGAACGUUCACAUCAGUCACCCAAUGGAUCAAGUGCUUCAGAUGACGAUGACCUCUUCAAGCAUGAAGACAACUCAUGGGCAGGAAAGUGUUAAACAGCUAGAAGGGUACCUUGACUCCAAAGUAGACAACAGAGUUACUGCAAUCUUAACCUGCGGUUUGCAAAUUCUCUUAAAAUCAACACUUACCAGCUUCUGCUACAUGCGAAUGUCUCUUUAGCACUGCAUUCAUAAAAUAAAAAAUGCAUUCAUUUCAGCCUUAAAGUUCAGAAAUGCCACUCAUUUGCCUACAAUAACAUUUAGUAUUAAGUCUAGUAAAGGGAAACUAAAGCAACUCUGAGGACAAUUCAGACCCGAUCAUGUUCUGAUAUACAUUUGUAUUUUCCAGCAAGUUAUUUGUGUAUUGAAUUGCAUAGGGCUUGGGAAUGUAAUGUUUUAUCAGAAUAAGAGGAUCUGAAAACGAUAUAGUUACAGAAUCAACUGUAGUAACCCAAAUUAGUAAAUUACACUUUGAAUGUUGAGGGAACAGAAUUCAUUGUGAUGUGGUUGUUUUUUGCUAAAAUUGUAGUCUUAGAAAAAACUGUUUAGGCUGCUUCCAAUUACUGGACAGUCUGGAACACAAAUGUUGUAGUUUUGCUCUGUGAAACGCAUUUAAUUAAAAUCCACCUAAUGGUAAAUCUGAUAUAAUUACUGUAACAACGGCAAAGUUUAUAUUGAGGUAAUUUACAGCCUGAAUUUUGUUUUCAGAACAAUUGACUGGAAUUUGUCUUGGAUUUCGGCCCAAACCAAUUACCAGGGUUUCCUCACACUUGUUGACCUCUUCGUUCUCCCUCCCAUUCAGGUUCACUCCAAGUACCGUCGGACAGGGGCCAGCUUCAGCAAGGCCCAACAGGAGUUCUCCUCAGGGUUUCUCACCAACCAGACCUUCCAGAGCGCUGCAGCCACCGCCGCCUCGUAGGGUUGAACUUGAUGCAAGAUAUUAAGAGAUGCUAAGUUUUGGUUCAUAUGAUGAAGACACUGGGUGAUGGUUUAGCUCAAUGGGAAUUAAUGUAUACUCUAAUCUUGUCACUACUGUAUAAGAGAACCUUUCAUUCUUAGCUGAUUGUACCUUGUGAGUUGUGGCCCCCAGACUGUGGAAUAAACUGCCCAUUAUUAUCAGGUCACCCCCCCCCCCCCCCACGAGGCAUCGAAGUCUCGCCUCAAAAUGUGUUUUUAUACUUUGGCGUUGGAGUCGGUGUAGGGACAUUCGAGCUCAACAGUUUUGUGUGCUGCUCGUUUCUAUUCAUUGUUUAUUUUUAUUUUUUUUUGCAUAACUUUGGACAGCACUUUGUUCAGCAUUGGUUGUUUUUAAAUGUGCUUUAUAAAUAAAUUGACUUGACUUAUCCCCCUGUAGAUACUCCGGUUGGUCACUUUUAUUACUCGGCUGGGCUUUAAGUUAUGGGGGAUUGAUCCUGUUUCCCUUUAGAACUAUACAUUAGUUCUGUCAUUGUGGGUAGUGUGGUCAUUAUGAUACACCUAAAUGUUCUUUGCUGACACGGUUUACUGUAAUUUUAACCAAAUACUUGAAGACUAGACAUUAUUUCUGAUGUCACUUCAGCCUCACCGUCUGAAUAUGAAUAAUCUUCAGGAUCUUAGUGUUCUGAGUUUUUGCCUACUGGUUUACGUAUUUUAUUUGAACACAAUUUUUUGAGAAUCUGCAGAUGCCCCCAAGACUACCAGUAACAUUUUAACUAACCCAAACCAUUAUCUUAACUUUGACCCUCCCACUAAACCCGGUACCCAGGC